Molecule: ribosomal RNA, 464 nt
Filed under: Vreelandella stevensii
Lineage: Bacteria; Pseudomonadati; Pseudomonadota; Gammaproteobacteria; Oceanospirillales; Halomonadaceae
Description: partial 16S ribosomal RNA
Rfam family: Bacterial small subunit ribosomal RNA
Source: RNAcentral
CCUACGGGCGGCAGCAGUGGGGAAUAUUGGACAAUGGGCGAAAGCCUGAUCCAGCCAUGCCGCGUGUGUGAAGAAGGCCUUCGGGUUGUAAAGCACUUUCAGUGGGGAAGAAAGCCUUGGGGCUAAUACCCUCGAGGAAGGACAUCACCCACAGAAGAAGCACCGGCUAACUCCGUGCCAGCAGCCGCGGUAAUACGGAGGGUGCGAGCGUUAAUCGGAAUUACUGGGCGUAAAGCGCGCGUAGGCGGUCUGAUAAGCCGGUUGUGAAAGCCCCGGGCUCAACCUGGGAACGGCAUCCGGAACUGUCAGGCUAGAGUGCAGGAGAGGAAGGUAGAAUUCCCGGUGUAGCGGUGAAAUGCGUAGAGAUCGGGAGGAAUACCAGUGGCGAAGGCGGCCUUCUGGACUGACACUGACGCUGAGGUGCGAAAGCGUGGGUAGCAAACAGGAUUAGAUACCCGAGUAGC